GAAAGCGGAAAGAGCCCWGCACCUAAUCCCCCAGUGUUACGCUGGWGGAAACUGUGGUGUAUGGGUCGCCACCAGUCGCGCGUGCGAGCACCGAAGUCCUCCUGAUCGAGGCUUCACCCAGAGCGGGUGUAAGGCCUUUGCUGGUGCUUGCUGCGCGGCYGCGAGCGUCUCAGGAGUCGGKNUGUUUGGGAAUGCAGCCCAAAGUGGGUGGNNAAC
This 216-nucleotide ribosomal RNA is filed under the name Aplysia sp. (sea hare). RNAcentral describes it as "partial 28S ribosomal RNA". It matches the Rfam family "Eukaryotic large subunit ribosomal RNA", at positions 94 to 304 of the family's 3401-position model. Lineage: Eukaryota; Metazoa; Mollusca; Gastropoda; Aplysiida; Aplysiidae. The record is from RNAcentral.